GGCCUUGUAGCUCAGUCGGCUAGAGCGUUGGCUGUACUAAAGCCUUCCCCUUCUGGCGUCGGUUCAAAUCCCACCGAGGCCG
This 82-nucleotide transfer RNA is filed under the name Schistocephalus solidus. It matches the Rfam family "tRNA". From Rfam's summary of the family: Transfer RNA (tRNA) molecules are approximately 80 nucleotides in length. Lineage: Eukaryota; Metazoa; Platyhelminthes; Cestoda; Diphyllobothriidea; Diphyllobothriidae. The record is from Rfam by way of RNAcentral.